RNAcentral lists this ribosomal RNA (460 nucleotides) under uncultured bacterium. RNAcentral's name for it is "partial 16S ribosomal RNA". It matches the Rfam family "Bacterial small subunit ribosomal RNA", at positions 338 to 795 of the family's 1533-position model. The record is from RNAcentral.
CCUACGGGAGGCAGCAGUGAGGAAUAUUGGUCAAUGGACGAGAGUCUGAACCAGCCAAGUAGCGUGAAGGAUGACUGCCCUAUGGGUUGUAAACUUCUUUUAUAUGGGAAUAAAACGUUCCACGUGUGGGAUUUUGUAUGUACCAUAUGAAUAAGGAUCGGCUAACUCCGUGCCAGCAGCCGCGGUAAUACGGAGGAUCCGAGCGUUAUCCGGAUUUAUUGGGUUUAAAGGGAUCGUAGGUGGAUUGUUAAGUCAGUUGUGAAAGUUUGCGGCUCAACCGUAAAAUUGCAGUUGAAACUGGCAGUCUUGAGUACAGUAGAGGUGGGCGGAAUUCGUGGUGUAGCGGUGAAAUGCUUAGAUAUCACGAAGAACUCCGAUUGCGAAGGCAGUUCACUGGACUGCAACUGACACUGAGGCUCGAAAGUGUGGGUAUCAAACAGGAUUAGAUACCCUAGUAGUC